This 507-nucleotide ribosomal RNA is filed under the name uncultured bacterium. Its description in RNAcentral is "bacterial SSU rRNA". It matches the Rfam family "Bacterial small subunit ribosomal RNA", at positions 17 to 518 of the family's 1533-position model. The record is from RNAcentral.
UUCUGGCUCAGGAUGAACGCUGGCGGCGUGCCUAAUACAUGCAAGUCGAACGCUAACCUUCGGGUUAGAGUGGCGAACGGGUGAGUAACACGUAGGUAACCUGCCCAUAAGACGAGGAUAACUACUGGAAACGGUAGCUAAUACUGGAUAGGAUAUUGAAUCGCAUGAUUUUAAUAUUUUAAAGAUGCGUUUGCAUCACUUAUGGAUGGACCUGCGGCGCAUUAGCUAGUUGGUGAGGUAACGGCCCACCAAGGCGACGAUGCGUAGCCGGACUGAGAGGUUGAACGGCCACAUUGGGACUGAGACACGGCCCAGACUCCUACGGGAGGCAGCAGUAGGGAAUUUUCGGCAAUGGACGCAAGUCUGACCGAGCAACGCCGCGUGAGUGAAUGAAGUUCUUCGGAACGUAAAAUUCUUUUAUUUGGAAAAAACGUAUAUUAUAGGAAAUGAUAAUAUAGUGAUGGUACCAAAUGAAUAAGCCCCGGCUAACUAUGUGCCAGCAGCAGC